Molecule: transfer-messenger RNA, 351 nt
Filed under: human gut metagenome
Rfam family: transfer-messenger RNA
About the family: Bacterial tmRNA, also known as 10Sa RNA or SsrA, is named for its dual tRNA and mRNA-like properties.
Source: RNAcentral
CUGGAUUCGAUUGCAGGCAGAGGCUGAUGUAAGCAUACCGAAGGAUCCGGCUUCGUAAAAACGGUAAAUUAAAAUUAAACGCUAACAAUAGCAAUUACAGCGCUCCCGUAGCGCUCGCAGCUUAACGCUGCAACGUCCUGUCCCGUUUCCCACGGGCGGGAACAGGGCGUCAAUUCAGUGGGGUACUUCUCUCUGCGUUAAAUCCCCGGCGCACUGAGAGGUUUUCAGGGGAUAUGCCGUGCGGUGAGGCUGUCUUUGGUCGCCCGUACGGCGAGAUCAAGCAAAGACUAAGUAUGUAGAAAGCUCAGGCAAAACCUGUAAGACCGCGGUUCAACUCCGCGCUAGUCCACC